Dermacentor andersoni is the source of this 5370-nucleotide long non-coding RNA. RefSeq lists it as uncharacterized. Lineage: Eukaryota; Metazoa; Arthropoda; Arachnida; Ixodida; Ixodidae. The record is from RefSeq and is a predicted model, not a curated record.
CUCUUCCCCUUAACUGUUAUUGUUUUUUCCUGUGUUUUCAUAUAUCUAUUGCCCUCGUUUAUCCAUAUACCAAGGUACUGAUAUUCUGUGGCCCGAGGUAUUUCCUGGCCAUGUAUUCCAUUCAUGUCUGUUCGCUGUUUUCAUUGAGAUGCGCCGAGAGCAGGGCCAUCUGGUGGCAAAAGCAAAAAGCCAAAUGCCGCUUGAUUUACCUGAACUCUGAUUGGCGGACGCGCCGCGCGACGCGUUUUUUUUUUUUCUACUCCAAGCAGCAGCACGCGGCGGCGCGAAAUGACGCGCGCGUUCCACCAUCUGCGCGUCAAUCGCGCCUGCGAUCGGGCCAUGCGGUUCCGCCUUAACGCGGAGCACCGCCAGAGCACAUGUUAUAAGUCGGCUACGUUACCGCAUCGCGGGCAAGCGUGCGAAGCCAAGGCUCCGGGAAAUAUUUCGCCUAAUAGUAAGGGAUUGGGAUAGGUUCCCGUCUGCAAGAGCGUCGGGGUGAGAGCUUGGGGUCUGUUUAGCUUUAUCUGAGGAGGAGGAUAUGACCGGCACGCCAAGCAAAGGUGCUUCGGGAGUUCGUUGUAUGAGAGAAGUGUCCCAUUCUCCCAUGUGUGCGGGAAACCAUAUGAUCGCGUGCGGGUUAACUUCCUUGCCACGGAGGAUCGCCAGGGCCUGUCUGGAAACGGUGCCCUUGGCAAAGGCUCUCAUUGCGGCCCUCGAGUCACUGUGUAAUCGGGUUUUCUUGCCAUCAAGGAUUGCCAGGGCUAUGGCUAUCUGUUCGGCUGUCUCUGGAUCUGUUGUAUAUAGAGACGCGGAAUUCGUGACGUUUCCUCUACCAUCCAGAAAGACCGCGGGGAACGCUCGCCUGCUGGGUUCGAACGCGGCGUCGACGAAAGUGCUUUCUUCUACUCGUUCCCUGGCUUUCUCGAGCAGGGAUUUGGCUGUAGCUCGCCUUGUGCCCACAGCGUGCACUGGGUGUGCGUUCCUCGGGACUUGGAUGACCAUGAUGCAGUCCCUCAACUUCCUCUGCAUCUCACAGUGCUUAUCUUGAGCUGUGGCGGGCGAGACGCCUACCCUGUUCAGAAUUUGUCUUCCGAACUGCGUGGUGGAGAGUCUGAUUUAUUGAGUUUUUUCCAGCGCCUCGACAAUCUCUUCUAGAAUGUUGCGCACGCCCAACUGCACGAGCCUCUCGGUGCCCAUAUAUAUGGGUAACCUAACUCCUGGGCUCUCUUAGUCCCCUUUCUCAGGAGCGGAUUGAGUUUGUCCCUCUUCGCCUUCUGCCAUUCGUGCAUUGCAACGACGUAGGCAGAGCUACAGAGAACGAAGGAGUGCACCAAUCGGACGAUGUUGUCUUAGCGUAGGCCUCUCUGUCGGUUGGUGGCUCUCUUGAUGAGUUUAAUGUCAUUGUAACGCGUAUUGUAUGCGCUGUGCCUGCCAGCUCAAUAUGGCCAUAUGGGUCCUUUGAAGGCGAAUUUGAGCGUCGUAGAAUUUUUUUCACUAGCUAACAACUGUUCAAGGUUAUGGCCCACCGAAAGACAAGCCUUUAUGUAACUGAAGUUUCUCAAUUGUUAUCGCUCGUUCCAUCCGUUGUACUUUGGUACCGAAGGUUGCAAAAUGAUAUUGUCUGCUCGACACAAAUUGUGUAUUAUUUUCUGGCAUCAACAAUCAGCCGCGAACCUGGGACGAGUCCUGUAUAAAAGCCGAGAUGUUUGGCCCACAGAUAACAUUUUCGACUAUCAACGAGCGUGCUCGCCGCUACUAUUGCGCCGGGUUUUACUUUUGCUGACUUCAGGUUCACAAUAGACAGUUAGGUUCGUGACUUACGUUGGACCAAUGUGGUAUUUCACUAUCAACGCAUCGUGACAAUAUUUUAACAUUCUGGGCGCCUGGUUCCGCGCUCGAAAUCGGUGGCAAAAUAUAUAUGCACGUCGAUGUGAACAGAUGAAUUAACAAUCGCAUGAGGCAUGAUAAGGCGUUCAGACGUGUGUCUUUGAGCCAAUGACUGAAGCGAUAAUAGCUGAGGUUGCCAGGGUGGUUAGAAAUGGCAAUCAUUCCUGCCAUAUAUGGAUCAUAUUGCAUUUUACAGCGCAGCUCUUGCGUGCCAUUUCCUGCGACCAGCGCCAGCGUGGAUGUCGUGCCUCGUAACCGAGCGAACGAGCACAGGGAAGGAUUAAAGCGUACGCGAAGCGCAGCGUGAGAUGAAAGACGGUGAUAGCGAAGAGAGCGGGAGGCGGAAAUCGGAGGAGGAGGGUAUGGAGAAAGUGUGAGAAGCGUAGUGCCAUGCGAGCACGGGCUCUGCGGUUAGGAUGACUACAAGAUGGCGCAGGAGUAGCGCGCAUCGUCAGUGUGGAAACAAAGCACUGUAUGAGCGGGGGUCUGUAUGCGGCGGCUGCCCCGAAUCGAGCCCACGCUUUAACCAUGCGCAGCCUCUCGCGAUAUUGCGAUUAGCGAGGCAGUUGCACCACAGUUUGCUCCAUUAGGAACGUGCCGCUGCAGACUGAUAUUCCGCACCAGCCAAUAUAUCACGAAAUCAAAACACGCAUAGGGAUGCGCUCAAAUUUUGCGUUCAGAAGCAUUGUAAUCGCUAGUGAUUUUUUUUUUUGCGCAGAAAUUCGUGUGGAAGCUUAUAUAUGUCCUAAUAAUGGUUGGGAGACCAAAUUGUAGAACUAUAUUCAAAGAUAGGUCAAACUAGUUUUAUUUAGGCCGUGAGUUUACACUUUUCAUUGAAAUUUUCUAGCGUGCGUUUAGAUAGCCGACCUUUUGAAGUGCUUUUUAACAGAUAAGAGCGGCAUCCUUCAACUCCAAGGAAGUCCAAUUCGUUGAAAUUGUCAUGGUAAUUAUUUCCGUUAGUGAAAAAGAGGUUAGAAGGCUAUUUUUUGUUAGUGAUAGUUAUCGGCGCUGUUUUUUAUAUAAAAUGACGCUUGCCAGACAUGACUCCAGUGGGAAAACGAAGCAAAAAUGUUGUUAAGCCCGAUCUGCUCUUGAACCUUAUUAAUGGUGGCUUAAAACACACAGUCGUCAGAAUGCAAACGAUGUUUGACAUUGGUGUACUGAUAGGUUUUGUCGCAUCGUUAUUAUUGUGAGCACAACAUUCGCAUCUCAUCUUCCUCACCUGUGCAUAUAUCAUCAUCGACUCAUCACCAUAUCUGUACAUAUCAUCAUGAGAGACGCGACUUCUUUUUCGUCCUGGUGCGGAAUCCUCGAGACUAAAGAAGUUCCUCAGGAGUGUAGGAGACUGCUCCUCGUUCCCCAAGUCGUCUCACGGUUCCUACCUGGGUGGUCGCAUCACCCCAGCGGCACUGUCAAGCCAAGACCCACCUUGUACAACUGACGCCACCGUCUCUGCCCAGUCUUCUUCCAUCUGGACUAUCAACAGCCGUCAGCGUGACUCCCAAGUAUUCGGGCUUACGCGGCGAAGACGUCCAAGACUGGUUCGUGAAAUACGAUGGAGUCAGCGACUAAACAGGUGAAAUAAAUCCAAUAAACGUCGCAAUGUACCUUUCUACCGCUCUGGCGUCGCUGAAAGUUGGUUCUUGUACCAGGGGUCCUACUUACCUGAGUAGACUGUAUUCGCGCAGGAGUUUUGUGCUAUUUUUGGUGUUCCUGCUAUUCGCCAUUAAAUCACGAAAAAGAAGCUUGUCCACCGUGUCCAAUUUUCCGGAGAAUCGUAUCAAUUUAUAUUCAAGAUGUCCUCGCCCUAUACAGGCGUGUAAACUCCACUAUGUCCGAAAGCGACCGCCUCCGUCACAUCAUCAAGGGAAUCAAAACUAUUGGCUUCAAUGCCCUGGCUACACAGAACCCUACAACCCUGCCAGAUCCUCCAUCAAAUCAUCAAGGAAAUCAAAACUAUUGGCUUCAACGUCCUGGCUACCCAGAACCUACCAUGCUGCCAAGUCCUCCGUCACAUUAUCAAGGGAAUCAAAACUAUUGGUUUCAAAGCCCUGGCUACACAGAACCCUACCACCCUACCAGAUAUCAUCACCAUGUGCCAGGGCCUUUAGGAACUGCAAUUCCUUCGCGUUAACGCAGAUACGUAUGAUGGUCGUCUCCCUGAGACUACGGAUCUGCCCACUUUGAUCCGUCCAUCAUACGUGAGGAACUACACGCACAAUGUUCUUCCUGUGCUUCCUGCACCGCCACCUCCCUUUCGCCGACCCGCUUGCGCGCAGUUAUUAAAGAGCUCGCAUCUACUACCCGUGACAUGUGUUCUGACGCUACCGGCGCUCCAACUGUAACAACAUAUUGCCACGUAGGGGUGACUGUGAAGAAAGCAGCGAAACUGGGAAUGACGAAACUAGCGUUUUAUUGGACGAACUUGUCCCCUCAAAAACAGGCUACACUCAAAGAAUGGCGACAGCGGCCAACACAGUCGGCGAUCGUCGAAAAUAUGACCAGCGUGUUAAGCAUAUCGGCCUUUUUACAUCAGUCAUACAACGUUCCAGAGUAAUCGCUGGUGCCCGCGUGUAUUCCAGAAAGUUCUGCAUCAUUCGCGUCGCGCAUACAUGAAAUCACAUGACGCAGGGUUCGGUGACCACAGACAGCAAAAUGAACCAUCGAUUACAUUCAAGAAACUUCCGAUACGUGCAGGCGCUGACCCGCGCUGAGCGAUAACAUCUUUAGACGGGGAAAAGCGCUCACCCGAAAAAGCCAAACAAGUACAAAUGUCAAUAAACAGACAUCGCUGCGAUGCCUCCACUUACGACCACGCCUGGGACAACAUCAUCCGCAAGCACACCCGUGGCUUCAGUGUCAUGCAGGUUUGUGCUGAACCUUCCAGUCCUGCAGGUACCGAGGGCAAAUUGCCCGUUUCUGCCGACGGCGCGAACAGGAAGAGGAGCACGGUUUCGCACCUGAAGAACGUUCCGAUAGCUGUCCCGCUAUGCUUAAUUACCAGCGCCCUACACAACAGAUAUGCCUCCCACCUCAUCUCGGCGCCGCUCACCACGCCGCCGCUCGGUGUCCCCACUUCGGCACGCCUCACAGGCGCUCGGUAAAACUCCGCGCUGCAGUUUUAGGAAGGGAAACUGCAUCGAUCGGACGGCCUAUAAUUGCUGCAGAGCGCCGGUCAAAUCUAUUAUAAGUGUUUGUGGAAGGAGGAGGAGGAGGAAUAAACAUUUAUUGAUGAGGAAAAAGAAAAUGGCGGAAGGGAGCGGUGCAGGGUGCGUCCCUAUUCCAAGACUCCAGUGGCCAUCGCGACCCACCCAGCUUGGUCCAGGAGGCCCUUCUGAGCCUCGAGGUCAGCAAGAGCGAGGAUGGCCUCCCAGGGCUCCCUUAGUAAGAUGCCCAAGUGCCCAUUCAAGCAUCUCGGGAAACGCAGUCUGCCGUUCUUUCGGUGGGCUGUAUACGUUGCCAAUAAACGUUUUGGUUUUACUC